AGCGAACGCUGGCGGCAGGCCUAACACAUGCAAGUCGAACGGAUCCUUCGGGAUUAGUGGCGGACGGGUGAGUAACACGUGGUAACGUGCCCUUUGGUUCGGAACAACUCAGGGAAACUUAAGCUAAUACCGGAUGUGCCCUUCGGGGGAAAGAUUUAUCGCCAUUGGAGCGGCCCGCGUCUGAUUAGCUAGUUGGUGAGGUAACGGCCCACCAAGGCGACGAUCAGUAGCUGGUCUGAGAGGAUGAUCAGCCACACUGGGACUGAGACACGGCCCAGACUCCUACGGGGGGCAGCAGUGGAGAAUCUUGCGCAAUGGGCGAAAGCCUGACGCAGCCAUGCCGCGUGAAUGAUGAAGGUCUUAGGAUUGUAAAAUUCUUUCAGCGGGGACGAUAAUGACGGUACCCGCAGAAGAAGCUCCGGCUAACUUCGUG
This 433-nucleotide ribosomal RNA is filed under the name uncultured bacterium. Its description in RNAcentral is "partial 16S ribosomal RNA". It matches the Rfam family "Bacterial small subunit ribosomal RNA", at positions 29 to 507 of the family's 1533-position model. The record is from RNAcentral.